Molecule: ribosomal RNA, 253 nt
Filed under: uncultured bacterium
Lineage: Bacteria
Description: partial 16S ribosomal RNA
Rfam family: Bacterial small subunit ribosomal RNA
Source: RNAcentral
UACGAGCGGCCCAAACGUUAUUCGGAAUUACUGGGCUUAAAGAGUUCGUAGGCGGCGCAGAAAGUAGGGUGUGAAAGCCCUCGGCUCAACCGAGGAAUUGCGCUCGAAACUACGGAGCUGGAGUGUGGCAGAGGAAGGUGGAAUUCCACGUGUAGCGGUGAAAUGCGUAGAUAUGUGGAGGAACACCGAUGGCGAAGGCAGCCUUCUGGGCCAACACUGACGCUCAUGCACGAAAGCGUGGGGAGCAAACAGG